UUAAGCGACUAAGCGUACACGGUGGAUGCCCUGGCAGUCAGAGGCGAUGAAGGACGUGCUAAUCUGCGAAAAGCGUCGGUAAGGUGAUAUGAACCGUUAUAACCGGCGAUGUCCGAAUGGGGAAACCCAGUGCAAUUCGUUGCACUAUCGUUAACUGAAUACAUAGGUUAACGAGGCGAACCGGGGGAACUGAAACAUCUAAGUACCCCGAGGAAAAGAAAUCAACCGAGAUUCCCCCAGUAGCGGCGAGCGAACGGGGAGCAGCCCAGAGUCUGAAUCAGCUUGUGUGUUAGUGGAACGGUCUGGAAAGUCCGACGGUACAGGGUGAUAGUCCCGUACACCAAAAUGCACAGGCUGUGAACUCGAAGAGUAGGGCGGGACACGUGGUAUCCUGUCUGAAUAUGGGGGGACCAUCCUCCAAGGCUAAAUACUCCUGACUGACCGAUAGUGAACCAGUACCGUGAGGGAAAGGCGAAAAGAACCCCGGCGAGGGGAGUGAAAAAGAACCUGAAACCGUGUACGUACAAGCAGUGGGAGCACCUUCGGGUGUGACUGCGUACCUUUUGUAUAAUGGGUCAGCGACUUAUAUUCUGUAGCAAGGUUAACCGUAUAGGGGAGCCGCAGGGAAACCGAGUCUUAACUGGGCGUUAAGUUGCAGGGUAUAGACCCGAAACCCGGUGAUCUAGCCAUGGGCAGGUUGAAGGUUGGGUAACACUAACUGGAGGACCGAACCGACUAAUGUUGAAAAAUUAGCGGAUGACUUGUGGCUGGGGGUGAAAGGCCAAUCAAACCGGGAGAUAGCUGGUUCUCCCCGAAAGCUAUUUAGGUAGCGCCUCGUGAAUUCAUCUUCGGGGGUAGAGCACUGUUUCGGCUAGGGGGUCAUCCCGACUUACCAACCCGAUGCAAACUACGAAUACCGAAGAAUGUUAUCACGGGAGACACACGGCGGGUGCUAACGUCCGUCGUGAAGAGGGAAACAACCCAGACCGCCAGCUAAGGUCCCAAAGUCAUGGUUAAGUGGGAAACGAUGUGGGAAGGCACAGACAGCCAGGAUGUUGGCUUAGAAGCAGCCAUCAUUUAAAGAAAGCGUAAUAGCUCACUGGUCGAGUCGGCCUGCGCGGAAGAUGUAACGGGGCUAAACCAUGCACCGAAGCUGCGGCAGCGACACUAUGUGUUGUUGGGUAGGGGAGCGUUCUGUAAGCCUGCGAAGGUGACCUGUGAGGGUUGCUGGAGGUAUCAGAAGUGCGAAUGCUGACAUAAGUAACGAUAAAGCGGGUGAAAAGCCCGCUCGCCGGAAGACCAAGGGUUCCUGUCCAACGUUAAUCGGGGCAGGGUGAGUCGACCCCUAAGGCGAGGCCGAAAGGCGUAGUCGAUGGGAAACAGGUUAAUAUUCCUGUACUUGGUGUUACUGCGAAGGGGGGACGGAGAAGGCUAUGUUAGCCGGGCGACGGUUGUCCCGGUUUAAGCAUGUAGGCUGGUUGUCCAGGCAAAUCCGGAUAAUCAAGGCUGAGGUGUGAUGACGAGGUACUACGGUGCUGAAGUAACAAAUGCCCUGCUUCCAGGAAAAGCCUCUAAGCAUCAGGUAACAUCAAAUCGUACCCCAAACCGACACAGGUGGUCAGGUAGAGAAUACCAAGGCGCUUGAGAGAACUCGGGUGAAGGAACUAGGCAAAAUGGUGCCGUAACUUCGGGAGAAGGCACGCUGGUGUGUAGGUGAAGUCCCUGCGGAUGGAGCUGAGACCAGUCGAAGAUACCAGCUGGCUGCAACUGUUUAUUAAAAACACAGCACUGUGCAAACACGAAAGUGGACGUAUACGGUGUGACGCCUGCCCGGUGCCGGAAGGUUAAUUGAUGGGGUUAUCCGUAAGGAGAAGCUCUUGAUCGAAGCCCCGGUAAACGGCGGCCGUAACUAUAACGGUCCUAAGGUAGCGAAAUUCCUUGUCGGGUAAGUUCCGACCUGCACGAAUGGCGUAAUGAUGGCCAGGCUGUCUCCACCCGAGACUCAGUGAAAUUGAACUCGCUGUGAAGAUGCAGUGUACCCGCGGCAAGACGGAAAGACCCCGUGAACCUUUACUAUAGCUUGACACUGAACAUUGAGCCUUGAUGUGUAGGAUAGGUGGGAGGCUUUGAAGCGUGGACGCCAGUCUGCGUGGAGCCAACCUUGAAAUACCACCCUUUAAUGUUUGAUGUUCUAACGUUGGCCCCUGACCGGGGUUGCGGACAGUGUCUGGUGGGUAGUUUGACUGGGGCGGUCUCCUCCCAAAGCGUAACGGAGGAGCACGAAGGUUAGCUAAUCCUGGUCGGACAUCAGGAGGUUAGUGCAAUGGCAUAAGCUAGCUUGACUGCGAGCGUGACGGCGCGAGCAGGUGCGAAAGCAGGUCAUAGUGAUCCGGUGGUUCUGAAUGGAAGGGCCAUCGCUCAACGGAUAAAAGGUACUCCGGGGAUAACAGGCUGAUACCGCCCAAGAGUUCAUAUCGACGGCGGUGUUUGGCACCUCGAUGUCGGCUCAUCACAUCCUGGGGCUGAAGUAGGUCCCAAGGGUAUGGCUGUUCGCCAUUUAAAGUGGUACGCGAGCUGGGUUUAGAACGUCGUGAGACAGUUCGGUCCCUAUCUGCCGUGGGCGCUGGAGAAUUGAGGGGGGCUGCUCCUAGUACGAGAGGACCGGAGUGGACGCAUCACUGGUGUUCGGGUUGUCAUGCCAAUGGCACUGCCCGGUAGCUAAAUGCGGAAGAGAUAAGUGCUGAAAGCAUCUAAGCACGAAACUUGCCCCGAGAUGAGUUCUCCCUGAGACUUUAAGUCUCCUGAAGGAACGUUGAAGACGACGACGUUGAUAGGCCGGGUGUGUAAGCGCAGCGAUGCGUUGAGCUAACCGGUACUAAUGAACCGUGAGGCUUAACCUU
RNAcentral lists this ribosomal RNA (2900 nucleotides) under Klebsiella pneumoniae. RNAcentral's name for it is "bacterial LSU rRNA". It matches the Rfam family "Bacterial large subunit ribosomal RNA". Lineage: Bacteria; Pseudomonadati; Pseudomonadota; Gammaproteobacteria; Enterobacterales; Enterobacteriaceae. The record is from RNAcentral.